Molecule: ribosomal RNA, 480 nt
Filed under: Triticum aestivum (bread wheat)
Lineage: Eukaryota; Viridiplantae; Streptophyta; Magnoliopsida; Poales; Poaceae
Description: partial small subunit ribosomal RNA
Source: RNAcentral
AUGUUCUUGUGGACAUUGGGAGGUUGUGAAUCAAAUAGAAGAACUCAAAAUCGCUUCAAACAUUCAGCGGAUACUAUCCAUCGUAAAUUCCAUGAGGUUCUACAAUGUGUAGUGAACCUGGCAUCUCACUACCUUAAGCCACAAGACCCAAACUUCCACAUUGUGCAUGAUCUAAUUAAAAAGGAUAGGGGGGCUUAUCCUCAUCUCAAAGAUUGCAUUGGUGCAAUUGAUGGGACUCAUAUAAGAGCUUCUAUUCCCGAUGGGCCACCAAAAGUUAGGUACAUUGGGAGGACGGGCAUGACAACUCAGAAUGUGAUGGCGGUAUGUGACUUCGAUAUGCACUUUACUUAUGCUUCAAUUGGGCAACCUGGUUCUAUGCAUGAUACAAAUGUAUUAUACCAUGCAAUUGAGAAGGACAGGCCCUCCUUCCCCCAUCCUCCAAAGGGUGAGCAUUUCUUUUCGUUACAAGUUUACACAUGA